CACCAGGAAGCUGUAAGGGUCCAGCAUUAGCCUUUUAAGCUAAAAGUUGGCGGCUCCCGACCGCCCCUCGUGA
Molecule: transfer RNA, 73 nt
Filed under: Nematobrycon palmeri (emperor tetra)
Lineage: Eukaryota; Metazoa; Chordata; Actinopteri; Characiformes; Acestrorhamphidae
Also listed under: 1 other name
Description: tRNA-Lys
Rfam family: tRNA
About the family: Transfer RNA (tRNA) molecules are approximately 80 nucleotides in length. Their secondary structure includes four short double-helical elements and three loops (D, anti-codon, and T loops).
Source: RNAcentral